This is a long non-coding RNA of Salvelinus fontinalis (brook trout), 5316 nucleotides long. RefSeq lists it as uncharacterized. The transcript has 2 exons. The record is from RefSeq and is a predicted model, not a curated record. Lineage: Eukaryota; Metazoa; Chordata; Actinopteri; Salmoniformes; Salmonidae.
UUAGGGUACCAUUCUCCCUGGAAGGUUAGACAUGUUUAGGGUACCAUUCUCCCUGGAGGGUUAGACAUGUUUAGGGCACCAUUCUCCCUGGAGGGUUAGACAGUAACAUGUUUAGGGUACCAUUCUCCCUGGAGGGUUAGACAUGUUUAGGGUACCAUUCUCCCUGGAGGGUUAGACAGUAACAUGUUUAGGGUACCAUUCUCCCUGGAGGGUUAGACAUGUUUAGGGUACCAUUCUCCCUGGAGGGUUAGACAUGUUUAGGGCACCAUUCUCCCUGGAGGGUUAGACAUGUUUAGGGUACCAUUCUCCCUGGAGGGUUAGACAGUAACAUGUUUAGGGCACCAUUCUCCCUGGAGGGUUAGACAUUAACAUGUUUAGGGUACCAUUCUCCCUGGAGGGUUAGACAUGUUUAGGGUACCAUUCUCCCUGGAGGGUUAGACAUGUUUAGGGCACCAUUCUCCCUGGAGGGUUAGACAUGUUUAGGGUACCAUUCUCCCUGGAGGGUUAGACAUGUUUAGGGUACCAUUCUCCCUGGAGGGUUAGACAGUAACAUGUUUAGGGUACCAUUCUCCCUGGAGGGUUAGACAUGUUUAGGGUACCAUUCUCCCUGGAGGGUUAGACAGUAACAUGUUUAGGGUACCAUUCUCCCUGGAGGGUUAGACAGUAACAGGACAUGUUUAGGGUACCAUUCUCCCUGGAGGGUUAGACAGUAACAUGUUUAGGGUACCAUUCUCCCUGGAGGGUUAGACAUGUUUAGGGUACCAUUCUCCCUGGAGGGUUAGACAUGUUUAGGGUACCAUUCUCCCUGGAGGGUUAGACAUGUUUAGGGUACCAUUCUCCCUGGAGGGUUAGACAGUAACAUGUUUAGGGUACCAUUCUCCCUGGAGGGUUAGACAGUAAUAUGUUUAGGGCACCAUUCUCCCUGGAGGGUUAGACAGUAAUAUGUUUAGGGUACCAUUCUCCCUGGAGGGUUAGACAGUAAUAUGUUUAGGGUACCAUUCUCCCUGGAGGGUUAGACAGUAAUAUGUUUAGGGCACCAUUCUCCCUGGAGGGUUAGACAGUAACAUGUUUAGGGUACCAUUCUCCCUGGAGGGUUAGACAUGUUUAGGGUACCAUUCUCCCUGGAGGGUUAGACAUGUUUAGGGUACCAUUCUCCCUGGAGGGUUAGACAUGUUUAGGGUACCAUUCUCCCUGGAGGGUUAGACAGUAACAUGUUUAGGGUACCAUUCUCCCUGGAGGGUUAGACAGUAAUAUGUUUAGGGUACCAUUCUCCCUGGAGGGUUAGACAGUAACAUGUUUAGGGUACCAUUCUCCCUGGAGGGUUAGACAUGUUUAGGGCACCAUUCUCCCUGGAGGGUUAGACAGUAACAUGUUUAGGGCACCAUUCUCCCUGGAGGGUUAGACAUGUUUAGGGCACCAUUCUCCCUGGAGGGUUAGACAGUAACAUGUUUAGGGUACCAUUCUCCCUGGAGGGUUAGACAUGUUUAGGGCACCAUUCUCCCUGGAGGGUUAGACAUGUUUAGGGUACCAUUCUCCCUGGAGGGUUAGACAGUAAAAUGUGUCUGCGCUUGGUUGAGACUCGGUUUGCAUUCAGAUUACAUUUUGGGUCAGGUAUCCAUCAGUGUAGAAAUGCAUUAGUGAAGCACUCAUAAGAGUGUUAUGUAGAAGUGUCAAGGUCAGUGUCAAUUUCAUCUCACCUCUGGUCAAUUUAAGCAAAUGUAUUGAAUUUGUAUUAAUGAAUUGAAUAAAUCCUGUUCAUGGAAUAUGGUUAACCUACUGCCCACCCAAGUCCCAAUCAUGAAUUGGAUAUCAAUUCCUUUUUUUGCGGAAUAAUGUUUUCUAUCUAUGUCAUCCUGAAACAGCUGGUCGCUGCAGUUAAAUGUUAAACACAUUUGUCUUUCAUCAAAGACAACAAAUACAGACGGGACAGAGUACGCUGACAUAUGCAAAUAUAGCACAAAGCACUUGCUUCCUUCAGACAGUGACAGUGAACACAGGCCUGCAAUGUGUGACGUGUGAUUCAAUAACAUUCCAACUGCAUAUGCUGUAGAACGAUGAUAUUGACACUUAACAACGGCUGAAACACACAAAAAAUCACACAAUAUACUUACAAUAUAUAUACUGAACAAAAAUAUAAACGCAACAUGUAAAAUGUUGGUCCCAUAUUUCCUGAGCUGAAAUCAAAGGUCCCUGAAAUGUUCCAUACGCACAAAAAGCUAAUUUCUCUCAAAUUUAUGGCACAAAUUAGUUUAGAUCCCUGUUAGUGAGCAUUUCUCCUUCGCCAAGAUAAUCCAUCCACUUGACAGGUGUGGCAUAUCAAGAAGCUGAUUAAACAGCAUGAUCAUUACACAGGUGCACAUUGUGCUGGGGAGGCCACUCUAAAAUGCCCCUCUAAAAUGUGCAGUUUUGUCACACAACACAAUGCCACAAAUGUCUCAAGUUUUGAGGGAGCGUGCAAUUGGCAUGCUGACUGCAGGAAUGUCCACCAGAGUUGAUGCCAGAAAAUGUAAUGUUAAUUUCUCUACCAUAAGCCGCGUCCAACGUCAUUUUAGAGAAUUUGGCAUUAUGUCCAACCACAGACCACGUGUAACCAUGCCAGCCCAGGACCUCCACAUCCAGCUUCUUCAAAAGCAGGAUCAUCUGAGACCCACCACCCAGACAGCUGAUGAAACUGUGGGUUUGCACAACCAAAGAAUUUGUGCACAAACUGUCAGAAACCAUCUCAGGGAAGCUCAUCUGUGUGCUCAUCGUCCUCACCAGGGUCUUGACCUGACUGCAGUUUGGCUUCGUAACCAACUUCAGUGGGCAAAUGAUCACCUUCGAUGGCUACUGGCACACUAGAGAUACACUAGCUCUUCAUGGAUGAAUCCCGCUUUAAACCGUACUGGGCAGAUGGCAGACGUGUGAGCGAGAGGUUUGCUGAUGUCGUCAACAUUGUGAUCAGAGUGCCCCAUUUUGUGGUGGGGUUAUGGUAUGGGCAUGAAUAAGCUAUGGACAACGAACACAAUUGCAUUUUAUCGAUGGCAAUUUGAAUAAACAAAUAUACCGUGACGAGAUAUCCUGUGGCCCGUUCAUCACCUCAUGUUUUAGCAUGAUAAUGCACAGCCCCAUGUCGCAAGGAUCUGUACACAUUUCCUGGAAGCUGAAAAUGUCCCAGUUCUUCCAUGGCCUGCAUACUCACCAGACAUGUCAUCCAUUGAGCAUGUUUGGGAUGCUCAGUAUUGACAUGUACGACAGAAUGUUCCAGUUCCCGCCAAUAUCCAGCAACUUCGCACAGCCAUUGAAGAGGAGUGGGACAACAUUCCACAGGCCACAAUCAACAGCCUGAUCAACUCUAUGCAAAGGAGACGUGUCGCGCUGCAUGAGGAAAAUGGUGGUCUCACCAGAUACUGACUGGUUUUCUGAUCCACGCCCCUACUUCAUUUUUUAACGUUUCUGUGACCAACAGAUGCAUAUCUGUAUUCCCAGUCAUGUGAAAUCCAUAGAUUAGAGUGUAAUGAAUCCAUUUAAAUUGACUGAUUUCCGUGUAUGAACUGUAAAUCAGUCAAAACGUUAAAAUUGUUGCAUGUUGCGUUGAUAGUUUUGUUCAGUGUUCAUAUUAUAUACAUAGAUGCCUCUGUUUCACGCUCAUACAGAGCAACACAGACGGAUAGAAUGUUCUUAUGUCAAUAUGGAUCACACAAAACGGUUAGGGGAUAGGUAAUGCUUGAGACUUAAAAUGUAUACGUAAUAUCACUGUCAUCGAGAGCCAAAAUAAUCAACACUACUUUCAGAAGAGAACCUGAAAGUUUAAUGAAUUACCAUCAACAACACCUACGGCUCCAUAUUGCCCUACGUUGGGAAUGACAAACAGAAAACAAAGGGAUGAUUCCCAAAUGGCACCCUAUUCCCUAUUUAGUGCAUUACAUUUAACCAGGGCCCAUAGGGCUCUAGUCAAAAGUAGUGCACUAUGUAGGGAAUAGGGUGCCAUUUGAUAUACACACAUAUUAUUUUACGUUUCUUUAAAAAACUGUUUAGGCAAUGUAUAACAAUAAAUAGGAUAUAAUUUUCAAUAUUCAAAAAACAGGUGGCAUUUUUGUUAUUUGGAAUUCCCCAUUUGUUUGCUCAUCCAUGACUUAGAGUUACAGAUGUCUGCAUUUGUUAAAAAAAAAUGGAAUGCAGUUUAACGAUAAAUGUGUCUUUUAGGAGGGGGUGAUCACUUUAGGUCAGUUUCGCUUUGUGCCAAAGGGUUUCACAUAUGAACCAAAAAAAGGAAGACAGCAAGAUAAACUUCCAGAGAACUUAAAUGAUUAGUAGAGAGUCAUGUGCGUUGUUUUCCUCCUCUAGUAUUUUUUUUCUACUUUUCUAAAAUCCAGCUCCCCGAUCGCCGUAACCAUGGUGAUAGAAACAACGUCACCCGUCAGUUUAUUUCUCUACCGAAAGUUUUUUUUUUUUUUUUCUUUAUAAAAAUCAAAGUUUUUUUAAUUUAUAAAAUAAUUUAAUUGGGAUGUUAUCUUUCAUCAUCAUCAUCUGCAUGUGGCCCAUUUUUACCUAUUUUUUUUAUAACUAGCUUGCUAUGCUACUAAGUUGUUUUAACAUGUAUCAGGUGGAUUUGUGUUUUCAUGUGGCCGUCAUCGAACAAUUGUGUUGUUAUAACCAUAUAUCACUUUUGAGGCAAUUAACAGUACGUGGCUAACAAACACAAAAAAAAGAUCUAUUUCAAACAUGUAAUGAAUAUGAGGCAUGUACACACAAAAUGAAUAUCACAUCACCUUUGUGAUUUAAAAAAAUAUAUAUUGUACAGAACCUUUGAGAAUAAUUGACACGGUGGCAUCCAACAAGAUUGGUUUAUAUAUUGUUGAGUAAAGGUUUAAUCACCUGAAUUCAGUCAUGAAAAAAGAGAAUUAAAAGCAAAUUAAAUGUAAAACAAUGAGACGACAAUCUCUGCUGUAACGUAAAUGGCUACAUAUGCAUAUAUUGGUGAGUGUGUGUGUGUGUGUGUGUGUGUGCAGCGAGUGUGUGUGUGUGCACAUUUUUGUGUGUACGUGUAUGUAUACUGGCAUGAACCUUGCCAGAAUAUUUUAUGUACACACGUAUCUUGUAUAAAAUCUAUAUAUGAAAUACCUGCUAUAUAAUAUAUAUGCUUGUAAAUUAGUCAUUGGUGGGUAUAGGUUCAAGGUUGCUUGGAGAGGAAGCUUAAAUGUUUGCCAGCAGUAUAGUAUUGAUCAACUCUGUGUUGUCAUGCCUUUGUAAAAUAUCCCAUCAAAAUCUAAGAAAAAAUGACCUUCCAGACAUGUAAUUUUACUUGAACCAUUAAAUAUUGAAUCGUCAAAGUAA